CUGGCGGCGUGCCUAACACAUGCAAGUCGAACGAGAAAGUGGAGCAAUCCAUGAGUAAAGUGGCGCACGGGUGAGUAACACGUGACUAACCUACCCUUGAGUGGGGGAUAACUGAGGGAAACCUUAGCUAAUACCGCAUAAUACCUACGGGUCAAAGGAGCAAUUCGCUCGAGGAGGGGGUCGCGGCCGAUUAGUUAGUUGGCGGGGUAAUGGCCCACCAAGACUAUGAUCGGUAUCCGGCCUGAGAGAGCGCACGGACACACUGGAACUGAAACACGGUCCAGACUCCUACGGGAGGCAGCAGUGGGGAAUUUUGCGCAAUGGGGGAAACCCUGACGCAGCAACGCCGCGUGGAGGAUGAAGUCCUUCGGGACGUAAACUCCUUUCGAUCGGGACGAUUAUGACGGUACCGGAAGAAGAAGCCCCGGCUAACUUCGUGCCAGCAGCCCGGGUAAUACGAGGGGGGCGAGC
Molecule: ribosomal RNA, 471 nt
Filed under: uncultured bacterium
Lineage: Bacteria
Description: bacterial SSU rRNA
Rfam family: Bacterial small subunit ribosomal RNA
Source: RNAcentral